RNAcentral lists this ribosomal RNA (494 nucleotides) under uncultured bacterium. Its description in RNAcentral is "partial 16S ribosomal RNA". It matches the Rfam family "Bacterial small subunit ribosomal RNA", at positions 28 to 507 of the family's 1533-position model. The record is from RNAcentral.
GACGAACGCUGGCGGCGUGCUUAACACAUGCAAGUCGAACGGUGAAGCGCCUUCCUUUUUGGUGGGUGGGGUGGAGUGGCGGACGGGUGAGUAACACGAGCGUAACCUGCCCCUUUGUUCUGGAUAACGGCAUGAAAGUGUGGCUAAUACGGGAUCUUCUGGGGCUUUCGGAUGGUGGGUCUGGGUAAGCUGUUGGUGCGGUGGGGGCGGGUCUCGCGGCCUUUCAGCUUGUUGGGGGUAUGAUGGCCUUCCAAGGCGGUGAGGUGUAGACGGCCUUAGAGGGUAGACGGUCACAGUGGGACUGAGACACGGCCGAGACUGCGACGCGAGGCAGCCGUGGGGAGUAGUGCACAAUGGGCGCAAGUCUGAUGCAGCGACGACGCGGGAGCGAUGGAGGCCCGCGGGUGAUGAACCCCUUUCGGCAGUGAAGCAGUCCUGCCUCGUUUGUAGGGGGGUUGACGGUAGCUGGAUAAGAAGCACCGGCUAACUACGUG